RNAcentral lists this ribosomal RNA (239 nucleotides) under uncultured bacterium. Its description in RNAcentral is "partial 16S ribosomal RNA". It matches the Rfam family "Bacterial small subunit ribosomal RNA", at positions 96 to 334 of the family's 1533-position model. The record is from RNAcentral.
UGGCGAACGGGUGAGUAACGCGUGAGGAACCUGCCUCAAAGAGGGGGACAACAGUUGGAAACGACUGCUAAUACCGCAUAAGCCCACGGGUCGGCAUCGACCUGAGGGAAAAGGAGCAAUCCGCUUUGAGAUGGCCUCGCGUCCGAUUAGCUAGUUGGUGAGGUAACGGCCCACCAAGGCAACGAUCGGUAGCCGGACUGAGAGGUUGACGGCCACAUUGGGACUGAGACACGGCCCAG